GUGUGAUGCUUUUGCCGGGGACAGAACAGGAAUGGAGUCUUAGAAUUUAAUCUAGUUUUAUCCAAGAAGGAGUGGGGGGUGCACCUGGUUUAGAACUCUUGCUGAAGUUAAAGGGCACAAUCUCUUGCUACACAAUCUCUCUGGGGAAGCUGCACAUAUGGAGAAACUACAAAUGAGCUAUCUGUGACUCCUGAGCCAAGGGUAAGCCACAGGGUUCAUAGACCGCUUUACAGGACUUAAGGAAGUAUAUAUGGCCAAAAUGUGAAGAAAGUAUUCCUGGUUCAUCUUUUAGGACUUGCUAGACAGCAAGUUACAAUACGAAAGAACUCAUUUGCCCAGGAGAUGCACUCAAGAAUAUCAUGUCUACAUUUGGCUGAACGGAACUCUAAAGUCUUCUGAUUAUUUAUUACCCACAAAAGCUCAUCCUAGAGCUGGGAAAUUAUUGCUAAAAUAUCAGUGACUAUUCUUUCCAAUUUUAAAAUAAAUUCCUUUGACUGCGUUCACAUUC
Chelonia mydas (Green sea turtle) is the source of this 508-nucleotide long non-coding RNA. RefSeq lists it as uncharacterized. The transcript has 4 exons. NCBI's taxonomy places the organism in Eukaryota, Metazoa, Chordata, Testudines, Cheloniidae. The record is from RefSeq and is a predicted model, not a curated record.